GGGGGUGUAGCGUCGUGCGCCCGCUGCGAAAGCUCGUGGGUUCAAAUCCCAUCAUCCCCG
RNAcentral lists this transfer RNA (60 nucleotides) under Oscillatoria sp. FACHB-1406. RNAcentral describes it as "tRNA-OTHER". Lineage: Bacteria; Bacillati; Cyanobacteriota; Cyanophyceae; Oscillatoriales; Oscillatoriaceae. The record is from RNAcentral.